This 650-nucleotide ribosomal RNA is filed under the name uncultured Staphylococcus sp. RNAcentral describes it as "bacterial SSU rRNA". It matches the Rfam family "Bacterial small subunit ribosomal RNA", at positions 117 to 736 of the family's 1533-position model. The record is from RNAcentral. Lineage: Bacteria; Bacillati; Bacillota; Bacilli; Caryophanales; Staphylococcaceae.
GUGGAUAACCUACUUAUAAGACUGGGAUAACUUCGGGAAACCGGAGCUAAUACCGGAUAAUAUUUUAGAACCGCAUGGUUCAAAACGUGAAAGACGGUCUUGCUAGUCACUUAAUAGAUAGGAUACCGCGUCUGCAUUACGCUAGUAUGGUAAGAGUAACGGCUUACCAGAGGCAACGAUGUCAUAGCCGAUCCUGACGAGGGUAGAUCGGCCACACUGGAACUGAGACACGGUCCAGACUCCUAGCGGGAGGCAGCAGUAGGGAAUCUUCCGCAAUGGGCGAAAGCCUAGACGGAGCAACGCCGCGUGAGUGAUGAAGGUCUUCGGAUCGUAAAACUCUGUUAUCAGGGAAGAACAUAUGUGUAAGUAACUGUGCACAUCUUGACGGUACACUAAUCAGAAAGCCACGGCUAACUACGUGCCAGCAGCCGCGGUAAUACGUAGGUGGCAAGCGUUAUCCGGAAUUAUUGGGCGUAAAGCGCGCGUAGGCGGUUUUUUAAGUCUGAUGUGAAAGCCCACGGCUCAACCGUGGAGGGUCAUUGGAAACUGGAAAACUUGAGUGCAGAAGAGGAAAGUGGAAUUCCAUGUGUAGCGGUGAAAUGCGCAGAGAUAUGGAGGAACACCAGUGGCGAAGGCGACUUUCUGGUCUG